This 386-nucleotide transfer-messenger RNA is filed under the name Helicobacter pylori. It matches the Rfam family "transfer-messenger RNA". From Rfam's summary of the family: Bacterial tmRNA, also known as 10Sa RNA or SsrA, is named for its dual tRNA and mRNA-like properties. Its role is to liberate the mRNA from a stalled ribosome. To accomplish this part of the tmRNA is used as a reading frame that ends in a translation stop signal. Lineage: Bacteria; Pseudomonadati; Campylobacterota; Epsilonproteobacteria; Campylobacterales; Helicobacteraceae. The record is from RNAcentral. RNAcentral also lists the same sequence under 1 other name.
GGGGCUGACUUGGAUUUCGACAGAUUUCUUGUCGCACAGAUAGCAUGCCAAGCGCUGCUUGUAAAACAGCAACAAAAAUAACUGUAAACAACACAGAUUACGCUCCAGCUUACGCUAAAGCUGCGUGAGUUAAUCUCCUUUUGGAGCUGGACUGAUUAGAAUUUCUAGCGUUUUAAUCACUCCAUAACCUUAAGCUAGACGCUUUUAAAAGGUGGUUCGCCUUUUAAACUAAGAAACAAGAACUCUUGAAACUACCUCAAGGUUUUAGAAAGUUGGACCAGAGCUAGUUUUAAGGCUAAAAAACCAACCAAUUUUCUAAGCAUUGUAGAAGUUUGUGUUUAGGGCAAGAUUUUUGGACUGGGGUUCGAUUCCCCACAGCUCCACCA